GAGUUUGAUCUUGGCUCAGGAUGAACGCUGGCGGCGUGCUUAGCACAUGCAAGUCGAACGAAGCACUCAGGAGCGAUUUCGGUCAAUCCUGUUUGACUGAGUGGCGGACGGGUGAGUAACGCGUGAGUAACCUACCUCGCAGUGGGGAAUAACAGUUGGAAACGACUGCUAAUACCGCAUAAUGCAGAGAGACCGCAUGAUCUUUCUGCCAAAGAUUUAUCGCUGUGAGAUGGACUCGCGUCUGAUUAGCUAGUUGGUGAGGUAACGGCUCACCAAGGCGACGAUCAGUAGCCGGACUGAGAGGUUGACCGGCACAUUGGGACUGAGACACGGCCCAGACUCCUACGGGAGCAGCAGUGGGAAU
This 364-nucleotide ribosomal RNA is filed under the name bacterium enrichment culture clone ALO1_GLFRUDD03GVLDB. RNAcentral describes it as "bacterial SSU rRNA". It matches the Rfam family "Bacterial small subunit ribosomal RNA", at positions 9 to 361 of the family's 1533-position model. The record is from RNAcentral.